Canis lupus familiaris (dog) is the source of this 540-nucleotide long non-coding RNA. RefSeq lists it as uncharacterized. The transcript is spliced from 2 exons. Lineage: Eukaryota; Metazoa; Chordata; Mammalia; Carnivora; Canidae. The record is from RefSeq and is a predicted model, not a curated record.
UUUGCUUGGGUGGCUGUGGUCGUCCGGGGAGAAGGCAGUGUUGGACAUAAGGGUUUUUUGUUUUGUUUUUUUAAGAUUUAUUUAUUUGUUCAUGAGAGACAGGCAGAGAGAGAAGCAGGCUCCCCACUGGGAGCCUGAUGUGGGACUCAAUUCCGGAUCCUGGGAUCACGCCCUGAGCCAAAGGCAGGUGCCCAACUGCUGAGUCACCCAGGUGUCCAAGGAUCUUAAAGCUGUUUUUGAAGUAUGCAAAUAAUGAAGUUACCAAGAAAUGGCACAAAUACAUUCUGAGGCGGUGAACACACUCCUUCAGCCAGCACACAUAGGAGCACCAGCAGUACUGGAAGCUAGAAGUCUGAAGUCAAGAUGCUGGCCAGGGUUGGUGCCUACUAGAGGUUCUGAGAGUCUAUUUUAUGAUUCUCUCCUGCAUUCUCAUGGUUGCUGGCAAUCAGUGGCAUCCCUGGUUUGUUGGCACAUCAUUCUUUUGUGUGUCCAUCUUUACAUGAUGUUCUGUGCUGCACGUGUCCGUCUCCCAACUUUUUU